GAUGAACGCUGGCGGCGUGCCUAAUACAUGCAAGUCGAGCGAACAGACGAGGAGCUUGCUCCUCUGACGUUAGCGGCGGACGGGUGAGUAACACGUGGAUAACCUACCUAUAAGACUGGGAUAACUUCGGGAAACCGGAGCUAAUACCGGAUAAUAUAUUGAACCGCAUGGUUCAAUAGUGAAAGACGGUUUUGCUGUCACUUAUAGAUGGAUCCGCGCCGCAUUAGCUAGUUGGUAAGGUAACGGCUUACCAAGGCAACGAUGCGUAGCCGACCUGAGAGGGUGAACGCCCACACUAGAACUGAGACACGGUCCAGACUCCUACGGGAGGCAGCAGUAGGGAAUCUUCCGCAAUGGGCGAAAGCCUGACGGAGCAACGCCGCGUGAGUGAUGAAGGUCUUCGGAUCGUAAAACUCUGUUAUUAGGGAAGAACAAAUGUGUAAGUAACUAUGCACGUCUUGACGGUACCUAAUCAGAAAGCCACGGCUAACUACGUG
Molecule: ribosomal RNA, 497 nt
Filed under: uncultured bacterium
Lineage: Bacteria
Description: partial 16S ribosomal RNA
Rfam family: Bacterial small subunit ribosomal RNA
Source: RNAcentral